GAUGAAUGCUGGCGGCGUGCCUAACACAUGCAAGUCGAGCGGCAGCGCGGUCUUCGGACUGGCGGCGAGCGGCGGACGGCUGAGUAACGCGUGGGAACAUACCCCAAAGUGAGGGAUAACCGCCCGAAAGGGUGGCUAAUACCGCAUAUGAUCUUCGGAUUAAAGGAUUUAUCCGCUUUGGGAAUGGCCUGCGUACGAUUAGAUAGUUGGUGAGGUAAUGGCUUACCAAGUCUACGAUCGUUAACUGGUCUGAGAGGAUGAUCAGUCAGACUGGAACUGAGACACGGUCCAGACUCCUACGGGAGGCAGCAGUGAGGAAUCUUCCACAAUGGGCGAAAGCCUGAUGGAGCAACGCCGCGUGCAGGAUGAAGGCCUUCGGGUCGUAAACUGCUUUUAUAAGUGAAGAAUAUGACGGUAACUUAUGAAUAAGCACCGGCUAACUACGUGCCAGCCGCCGCCGUAA
This 463-nucleotide ribosomal RNA is filed under the name uncultured bacterium. RNAcentral's name for it is "partial 16S ribosomal RNA". It matches the Rfam family "Bacterial small subunit ribosomal RNA", at positions 28 to 523 of the family's 1533-position model. The record is from RNAcentral.